UUCCUCCGUUCCUCCUCACAGCUGUCCUGAACACCCAGCCUCCGAGCUGCGCUGCGUUACUACCAGUUUUCAGAUUGUCUUCCUAGGAAGGAAGAGCUCCGAAUUUUCUCUCAACCGUUCUUGUGGCCAAGAAGCGGGAUGGGGACAAGAGGCCUGGUGACCCCCCAAGCUGAAGUUAAAGAAAACCCUGGCUGUUGUGACUCUGCACUUAAAGCACCACCCUGAGCAUCAAAGUGUCCUGGCUUGGAUUCCCAGACCUGGAUGGCUGGUUCAAUGCCCAGGGGCAAAUUAUCCUGCAGUGAGGAUUAACAACACAGACAAACAAGGAAACAAACAAAGAAAAACAGAGGUGAAAAACUGGAGUGGAAAGCUUUAGCCACCUGUGCAGCCUCCAACAAGAUAAUUUCCACAUUGAGGAAAAGCUGUAAUUCCUGAGGACUGGGCAGGGCUUUUAAGGUGGCUGAGCCUCAGCAUUCCUCUGUGUGGAGAGUCUUCCCCAGAAAUGUCAUCUCAAUGAACCAGACUGGAAUUUUCCAGUCAAGCACCAGGUAGGUGAUCUGUCUCAUGGACCUCUCCAUCUCUGAUACACUCCCCCCCUCCCCCCACCUCAAGAUACAAUGUGCAUAGAAAACCCUUGCUGUUCUUGCCCCGCCCCCUCCACAGAAGAUGGCCAGAGUAAUAAUAAUCCUUUCCUUUGUUAACAGCACUUCUGGCUCAGCCUCUCCCUAUUAAAACCUUCCAUUCUGUGUGGCCCCUGGGAGUUCUGCUCUAGUUGCUAGAGGGGAUGCUGCCUGGUUCCUGAAUCUUUUAAUAAAGCCAAUUAAAUCUUUA
Long non-coding RNA from Eptesicus fuscus (big brown bat), 831 nucleotides. RefSeq lists it as uncharacterized. The record is from RefSeq and is a predicted model, not a curated record. Lineage: Eukaryota; Metazoa; Chordata; Mammalia; Chiroptera; Vespertilionidae. The transcript is spliced from 4 exons.